Molecule: ribosomal RNA, 351 nt
Filed under: uncultured bacterium
Lineage: Bacteria
Description: bacterial SSU rRNA
Rfam family: Bacterial small subunit ribosomal RNA
Source: RNAcentral
GACGAACGCUGGCGGCGUGCUUAACACAUGCAAGUCGAGCGGUAAGGCCCUUUCGGGGGUACACGAGCGGCGAACGGGUGAGUAACACGUGGGUGACCUGCCCUUAGCUCUGGGAUAAGCCUGGGAAACUGGGUCUAAUACCGGAUAUGACUCCAUAACGCAUGUUGUGGGGUGGAAAGCCUUGUGCGGCUAGGGAUGGGCCCGCGGCCUAUCAGCUUGUUGGUGGGGUGAUGGCCACCAAGGCGACGACGGGUAGCCGGCCUGAGAGGGCGACCGGCCACACUGGGACUGAGACACGGCCCAGACUCCUACGGGAGGCAGCAGUGGGGAAUCUUGCGCAAUGGGCGAAAG